This 468-nucleotide ribosomal RNA is filed under the name uncultured bacterium. RNAcentral's name for it is "partial 16S ribosomal RNA". It matches the Rfam family "Bacterial small subunit ribosomal RNA", at positions 28 to 507 of the family's 1533-position model. The record is from RNAcentral.
GACGAACGCUGGCGGCGUGCUUAACACAUGCAAGUCGAACGGAAAGGCCCUGCUUUUGUGGGGUGCUCGAGUGGCGAACGGGUGAGUAACACGUGAGUAACCUGCCCUUGACUUUGGGAUAACUUCAGGAAACUGGGGCUAAUACCGGAUAGGAGCUCCUGCUGCAUGGUGGGGGUUGGAAAGUUUCGGCGGUUGGGGAUGGACUCGCGGCUUAUCAGCUUGUUGGUGGGGUAGUGGCUUACCAAGGAUUUGACGGGUAGCCGGCCUGAGAGGGUGACCGGCCACAUUGGGACUGAGGUACGGCCCAGACUCCUACGGGAGGCAGCAGUGGGGAAUAUUGCACAAUGGGCCGAAGCCUGAUGCAGCAACGCCGCGUGCGGGAUGACGGCCUUCGGGUUGUAAACCGCUUUCGCCUGUGACGAAGCGUGAGUGACGGUAAUGGGUAAAGAAGCACCGGCUAACUACGUG